This 549-nucleotide long non-coding RNA is filed under the name Helianthus annuus (common sunflower). The record is from RNAcentral. Lineage: Eukaryota; Viridiplantae; Streptophyta; Magnoliopsida; Asterales; Asteraceae.
UUUCGCCAUAUUAAUUAAAUUUGUGUUUUUUGUUUUAAGUUUUCUUAUCCCUUUUUACAAGGUUUGAGACAAGGGUUAUGUAACUUAUCUUUGCCCUAUAUCUGAACCGUGUAUGCAUCUUCACCGACGAGUUACAUGGUUACACGGUAUGUGAAUUUUGAAGGUUAUUUCCUUUUUGUUAAUCAAUGGUGACUUGGGAACUAGGGAUUCCGACCAUGGGUCAAAUUUCCAUAUUUACUCUUGCAAGUCUAAUUAGAUUUAUAGGGAAUCAGGAUAAACAUGUAUGGAUUGUUAUUCAUAAUUAUUUUAGGCCACAUGUUCCGUCCAGGCUUUGAAAUACAAUCAAAGAUAUGAAAUUAUAAUACUAGGUUAAGAAAUUGUCCGUGCGCAAAACGGGCCCCAAAGAAAUCUGAGCAAGAACAAGGUGGUAAGACCAAGCAUCGAUACAGGUGUUGGUAUUAUGGGAAGCGAUAUCGGUACUUAUUUUUAUAGUUUUGAAUUAAUUUAAAACAUGACUUUAUUUAUUGUGUUACAUCGACUUUGUUUUCU